AAACCCAUAGAUUCAGAGUAUGGAAAAAGUGUGUUUUCUCCACAAACUGUGUUUUGUGCCUUCACGACUGUAUUCUACUGCAGACUAGUACUCUACCUUCAGUACUGUAUUCUACUGCCUUCAGUACUGUAUUCUACUGCAGACCAGUACUCUACCUUCAGUACUGUAUUCUACUGCAGACCAGUACUCUACCUUCAGUACUGUAUUCUACUGCCUUCAGUACUGUAUUCUACUGCCUUCAGUACUGUAUUCUACUGCAGACCAGUACUCUACCUUCAGUACUGUAUUCUACUGCCGACCAGUACUCUACCUUCAGUACUGUAUUCUACUGCCGACCACUACUCUACCUUCAGUACUGUAUUCUACUGCAGACCAGUACUCUACCUUCAGUACUGUAUUCUACUGCCGACCAGUACUCUACCUUCAGUACUGUAUUCUACUGCCGACCAGUACUCUACCUUCAGUACUGUAUUCUACUGCCGACCACUACUCUACCUUCAGUACUGUAUUCUACUGCAGACCAGUACUCUACCUUCAGUACUGUAUUCUACUGCAGACCAGUACUCUACCUUCAGUACUGUAUUCUACUGCAGACCAGUACUCUACCUUCAGUACUGUAUUCUACUGCAGACCAGUACUCUACCUUCAGUACUGUAUUCUACUGCAGACCAGUACUGUAUUCUACUGCCUUCAGUACUGUAUUCUACUGCAGACCAGUACUCUACCUUCAGUACUGUAUUCUACUGCCGACCAGUACUCUACCUUCAGUACUGUAUUCUACUGCCGACCAGUACUCUACCUUCAGUACUGUAUUCUACUGCCGACCAGUACUCUACCUUCAGUACUGUAUUCUACUGCCGACCAGUACUCUACCUUCAGUACUGUAUUCUACUGCCGACCAGUACUCUACCUUCAGUACUGUAUUCUACUGCAGACCAGUACUCUACCUUCAGUACUGUAUUCUACUGCAGACCAGUACUCUACCUUCAGUACUGUAUUCUACUGCAGACCAGUACUCUACCUUCAGUACUGUAUUCUACUGCAGACCAGUACUCUACCUUCAGUACUGUGUUCUACUGCAGACCAGUACUCUACCCUCAGCACAGUGUUCUACUGCAGACCAGUACUCUACCUUCAGUACUGUAUUCUACUGCAGACCAGUACUCUACCUUCAGUACUGUAUUCUACUGCCGACCAGUACUCUACCUUCAGUACUGUAUUCUACUGCCGACCAGUACUCUACCUUCAGUACUGUAUUCUACUGCAGACCAGUACUCUACCUUCAGUACUGUAUUCUACUGCAGACCAGUACUCUACCUUCAGUACUGUGUUCUACUGCAGACCAGUACUCUACCCUCAGCACAGUGUUCUACUGCAGACCAGUACUCUACCUUCAGUACUGUAUUCUACUGCAGACCAGUACUCUACCUUCAGUACUGUAUUCUACUGCCGACCAGUACUCUAUCUUCAGUACUGAGGUCAGUUUCAGCCUGCAGGAUGAAACAUGGAAGCCCACCGCAAGUAGGCAGUUGGGAGUACAGUAGAUUAUUGUACAGUAGGAGGCUUGUCCCAAAUGGCACCCUAUUCCCUAUAUGA
This is a long non-coding RNA of Oncorhynchus mykiss (rainbow trout), 1596 nucleotides long. The record is from Ensembl. NCBI's taxonomy places the organism in Eukaryota, Metazoa, Chordata, Actinopteri, Salmoniformes, Salmonidae.